Dalotia coriaria is the source of this 1491-nucleotide long non-coding RNA. RefSeq lists it as uncharacterized. The transcript has 5 exons. Lineage: Eukaryota; Metazoa; Arthropoda; Insecta; Coleoptera; Staphylinidae. The record is from RefSeq and is a predicted model, not a curated record.
UUGAGCUAUUGCAUAUUUACAAUAUUUGAUACAGUUUUUUAUAGUGUAUAUUAAUGUUUUUCGGUAUAUUGGUGCAAUAUUGAUUAAUUAUUAAUACGUAAAUAUUACGGCGAAAUUAUUGCAAUAAUCGCGAACGUGUCGCGUUUUAUUCGCGCGAUUUAUUUUAAUAAUGAACAUGUGAAAUAUAUUGUGAAAUUGUGUAUAAAAUGUGUUGCAUGCGCAAAAUAAUAAAAGAGAAAGUGAUUUGUUAAUAAUUGUGUCAAUUUGUGAAAAUGAAAAUUGUGUCUGAUUGCGUAGAUAAUUUGCAAUAAUGUGGUAAAAGUGUUUUUAAUACACAAGUGCCGGGAUAACCUUGGGGAUAAAUAUUAUUUGAUAAUAUUUCUUAAUAUUUAAAUAAUCGUGGCCAUCGAUCUUCCUCCAAAAUCUCAUCAUCCGAUGCAACAAUUCAAAUAGUUUUCACUGAUUUUUUUCGGUUUGCAAACAAAUUGCAAAUAUGGAACACACUCACGUCGAAAAAAUCAGAUGUUCCGGACCGUGUGUAACGAGAUAGAGAUGAGGGCUGACCAAUAGGACAUUUGCGACAUCUAGUGGCGAGUGACGGAAUGAACUAAGCUGGGGGUUUAAGGAAGAAACCGUCGAGCGGAUUUAAUGAGGAGCAAGGAAAAGGAACAUGAGGAAGGAUAUCAAAAAGGGUGGAUGGAACUACAGGGUGUUCAAACAAACAAAACUCACAUGAAAUUUUGCAAAAAAAUACUUUUUGGUUAUGUACACUGGAGCGAAAGAACUUUUCCUCAUCCUGUCCAUUAAAUCUGCUCGCCUAGCGUGUAAAAUCACAUAGCAAAGGACGAACAUGAAAAAGGAAAACUCCGGACAAGCGGAUUAAAGACUAACUCUGAAAGCGCCCCGAAGACAUCUUUAGACUGUUCCGUCUCGUCAGGAAAAGCUCUCUCAGUGCACACACGGAUUGCAAACUGCUUUAACGAACCGUGAAUAGCAGCGCUGAGCAAAGAAGCAUUGAAAAGCUUUAUAAAAGAGUUUCCAUUGGAGAUCCAACCCUCUUGUUGACCGUGAAUGGAGCGAAACGUGCGCUUAAUGGAUUUUCAAAUGAGAAUUUAAUCUAGGAAUAUGUGUUGGAGAAGGGGAUGAUUUGUAACUGCCAGUGGAUAUUUACGAACGCACAUGAAAAUAAUAAAAAACAGAAUCGACGAAUCGAAAUAAAAAUAAAGCUUCGAACGGCGAGCGAAAAAAAGGCGCGCCAGCACGAAAAAAAAGAGCGUCGGGAACAAAAUAAUAAAUAAGCAAAAAAAAACUGUUGCAUACGUCAUACCCACCCUCUUCUCGUGUGCAUUCCGCUAGCUCUGUCCAUGGCGCUGCGUCGAAGCGAGCGCGCACUCGAAGAGGAGGCGACGCGCUGUUUGUUCGCGGAGUUUUAAAAACGCGCAUUCCAAAACAAUAAUACUCAAUCAAUGAUAGCAAUGAGCCAAUAACCAA